UACGUAGGGUGCGAGCGUUAAUCGGAAUUACUGGGCGUAAAGUGUGCGCAGGCGGCAGAGCAAGUCGAGUGUGAAAGCCCCGGGCUUAACUUGGGAAUUGCGCUCGAAACUACUUUGCUGGAGUGUGGCAGAGGGAAGUGGAAUUCCACGUGUAGCGGUGGAAAUGCGUAGAGAUGUGGAGGAACACCAAUGGCGAAAGGCAGGCCUCUC
This 210-nucleotide ribosomal RNA is filed under the name uncultured bacterium. Its description in RNAcentral is "partial 16S ribosomal RNA". It matches the Rfam family "Bacterial small subunit ribosomal RNA", at positions 524 to 730 of the family's 1533-position model. The record is from RNAcentral.